UUAAUUAUUCACCCUCAGAUAAAAUCCAGGAGGUUUUGAAAGGCCACUGGCGGGCACUAGCCAAGGACCAGCCCCGCCAGAGCAACUUGGUUUUUUGAUUCAAGAGUUGGAGAUCGGGCCUAGAAGACCCUUACUCGGUAAUGAUCCUUCCGCAGGUUCACCUACGGAAA
RNAcentral lists this unclassified non-coding RNA (170 nucleotides) under uncultured fungus. Its description in RNAcentral is "sequence contains ITS1". The record is from RNAcentral. Lineage: Eukaryota; Fungi.